This 253-nucleotide ribosomal RNA is filed under the name uncultured bacterium. RNAcentral describes it as "partial 16S ribosomal RNA". It matches the Rfam family "Bacterial small subunit ribosomal RNA", at positions 524 to 776 of the family's 1533-position model. The record is from RNAcentral.
GACAGAGGGUGCAAACGUUGUUCGGAAUUACUGGGCGUAAAGCGCGUGUAGGCGGUUCGGAAAGUCGGAUGUGAAAGCCCUGGGCUUAACCCAGGAAGUGCACUCGAAACUCCCGAACUAGAGUCCUGGAGAGGAAGGCGGAAUUCUCGGUGUAGAGGUGAAAUUCGUAGAUAUCGAGAGGAACAUCGGUGGCGAAGGCGGCCUUCUGGACAGCGACUGACGCUGAGACGCGAAAGCGUGGGGAGUAAACAGG